AUUGAACGCUGGCGGAAUGCUUUACACAUGCAAGUCGAACGGCAGCACGGACUUCGGUCUGGUGGCGAGUGGCGAACGGGUGAGUAAUGUAUCGGAACGUGCCCAGUCGUGGGGGAUAAUGUAGUGAAAAUUACGCUAAUACCGCAUACGAUCUAUGAAUGAAAGCGGGGGAUCGCAAGACCUCGCGCGAUUGGAGCGGCCGAUAUCAGAUUAGGUAGUUGGUGUGGUAAAGGCCCACCAAGCCAACGAUCUGUAGCGGGUCUGAGAGGACGACCAGACACACUGGAACUGAGACACGGUCCAGACUCCUACGGGAGGCAGCAGUGGGGAAUUUUGGACAAUGGGCGAAAGCCUGAUCCAGCCAUUCCGCGUGCAGGAUGAAGGCCCUCGGGUUGUAAACUGCUUUUGUACAGAACGAAAAGGUUUCUACUAAUACUAGGAGCUCAUGACGGUACUGUAAGAAUAAGCACCGGCUAACUACGUGCCAGCCGCCGCAGUAA
RNAcentral lists this ribosomal RNA (500 nucleotides) under uncultured bacterium. RNAcentral's name for it is "partial 16S ribosomal RNA". It matches the Rfam family "Bacterial small subunit ribosomal RNA", at positions 30 to 523 of the family's 1533-position model. The record is from RNAcentral.